Molecule: ribosomal RNA, 253 nt
Filed under: uncultured bacterium
Lineage: Bacteria
Description: partial 16S ribosomal RNA
Rfam family: Bacterial small subunit ribosomal RNA
Source: RNAcentral
UACGUAGGUGGCAAGCGUUGUCCGGAUUUACUGGGCGUAAAGAGCGCGCAGGCGGUCGUUCAAGUCGCGUGUGAAAGCCCCCGGCUCAACUGGGGAGGGUCACGCGAUACUGAUCGACUCGAAGGCAGGAGAGGGUAGCGGAAUUCCCGGUGUAGUGGUGAAAUGCGUAGAUAUCGGGAGGAACACCAGUGGCGAAGGCGACUACCUGGCCUGUUCUUGACGCUGAGGCGCGAAAGCUAGGGGAGCAAACGGG